Molecule: ribosomal RNA, 682 nt
Filed under: uncultured bacterium
Lineage: Bacteria
Description: bacterial SSU rRNA
Rfam family: Bacterial small subunit ribosomal RNA
Source: RNAcentral
CAUGCAAGUCGCGCGAUAAGCCCCGCAAGGGGCCGAAAGCGGCGUAAGGGAGAGUAACGCGUGGGUAUCUGCCUUCAGAUUCGGGAUAGCUGCGGGAAACUGCAGGUAAUACCGGAUAAUGUCUCCGGACCAAAGGUGUGAUUCCGUCUGAAGAUGAGCCCGCGUCCUAUCAGCUAGUUGGCGGGGUAAUGGCCCACCAAGGCAACAACGGGUACUGGGUGUGAGAGCACGACCCAGCUCACUGGGACUGAGACACUGCCCAGACACCUACGGGUGGCUGCAGUCGAGGAUCUUCGGCAAUGGGCGCAAGCCUGACCGAGCGACGCCGCGUGUGGGAUGAAGGCCUUCGGGUUGUAAACCGCUGUCAGAGGGGAGGAAAUGGCUGGGGGUUCUCCCCCAGUCUUGACCUAUCCUCAGAGGAAGUACGGGCUAAGUUCGUGCCAGCAGCCGCGGUAAGACGAACCGUACGAACGUUAUUCGGAAUUACUGGGCUUAAAGGGUGCGUAGGCGGUGCAGAAAGUUGGGUGUGAAAUCCCUUGGCUUAACCAAGGAAUUGCGCUCAAAACUACUGUGCUAGAGGAAUACAGAGGUAAGCGGAACUUAGGGUGGAGCGGUGAAAUGCGUUGAUAUCCUAAGGAACACCGGUGGCGAAAGCGGCUUACUGGGUAUUUUCUGACGCUGA